AUCUAGCUGACGAGUCCCAACUAGGACGAGACGCGCUUCUUGGAU
This 45-nucleotide non-coding RNA is filed under the name Schistosoma mansoni. Lineage: Eukaryota; Metazoa; Platyhelminthes; Trematoda; Strigeidida; Schistosomatidae. The record is from RNAcentral.